RNAcentral lists this ribosomal RNA (394 nucleotides) under uncultured bacterium. RNAcentral's name for it is "partial 16S ribosomal RNA". It matches the Rfam family "Bacterial small subunit ribosomal RNA", at positions 523 to 918 of the family's 1533-position model. The record is from RNAcentral.
AUACGUAGGGGACGAGCGUUGUCCGGAAUUACUGGGCGUAAAGGGCGCGCAGGCGGAUAUUUAAGUCAGCUGUAAAAGGCAUGAGCUCAACUCAUGUAUGCGGUUGAAACUGGGUAUCUAGAGUGCUGGAGAGGUAGGCGGAAUUCCCGGGGUAGCGGAGAAAUGCGUAGAUAUCGGGAAGAACACCAGUGGCGAAGGCGGCUUACUGGCCAGCAACUGACGCUGAGGCGCGAAAGCCAGGGGAGCGAACGGGAUUAGAUACCCCGGUAGUCCUGGCCGUAAACGAUGAAUGCUAGGUGUGGGUGUCGAGAGGCAUCCGUGCCGGAGUUAACGCGAUAAGCAUUCCGCCUGGGGAGUACGAUCGCAAGAUUGAAACUUAAAGGAAUUGACGGGG